This 465-nucleotide ribosomal RNA is filed under the name uncultured bacterium. RNAcentral's name for it is "partial 16S ribosomal RNA". It matches the Rfam family "Bacterial small subunit ribosomal RNA", at positions 338 to 795 of the family's 1533-position model. The record is from RNAcentral.
CCUACGGGAGGCUGCAGUAGGGAAUCUUCCACAAUGGGCGAAAGCCUGAUGGAGCAACGCCGCGUGGGUGAAGAAGGUCUUCGGAUCGUAAAACCCUGUUGUUAGAGAAGAAAGUGCGGGAGAGUAACUGUUCACGUUUCGACGGUAUCUAACCAGAAAGCCACGGCUAACGACGUGCCAGCAGCCGCGGUAAUACGUAGGGGGCAAGCGUUAUCCGGAUUUAUUGGGCGUAAAGGGAACGCAGGCGGUCUUUUAAGUCUGAUGUGAAAGCCUUCGGCUUAACCGGAGUAGUGCAUUGGAAACUGGGAGACUGGAGUGCAGGAGAGGAGAGUGGAACUCCAGGUGUAGCGGUGAAAUGCGUAGAUAUAUGGAAGAACACCAGUGGCGAAGGCGGCUCUCUGGUCUGUAACUGACGCUGAGGUUCGAAAGCGUGGGUAGCAAACAGGAUUAGAUACCCUGGUAGUC